Molecule: ribosomal RNA, 305 nt
Filed under: uncultured bacterium
Lineage: Bacteria
Description: bacterial SSU rRNA
Rfam family: Bacterial small subunit ribosomal RNA
Source: RNAcentral
CAUCUCCUACGGGGGGCAGCAGUGGGGAAUAUUGCACAAUGGGGGAAACCCUGAUGCAGCAACGCCGCGUGAGUGAAGAAGUAUUUCGGAUUGUAAACCUCUGUCCUCUGUGAAGAUGAUGACGGUAGCAGAGGAGGAAGCUCCGGCUAACUACGUGCCAGCAGCCGCGGUAAUACGUAGGGAGCAAGCGUUGUCCGGAUUUACUGGGUGUAAAGGGUGCGUAGGCGGCUUUGCAAGUCAGAAGUGAAAUCUAUGGGCUUAACCCAUAAACUGCUUUUGAAACUGCAGGGCUUGAGUGAAGUAGA